Zonotrichia leucophrys gambelii is the source of this 1815-nucleotide long non-coding RNA. RefSeq lists it as uncharacterized. The transcript has 3 exons. The record is from RefSeq and is a predicted model, not a curated record. NCBI's taxonomy places the organism in Eukaryota, Metazoa, Chordata, Aves, Passeriformes, Passerellidae.
CAGGCAGGCACCACCUGAUGUGCAAGUUAUGACUUGCAUAAUGCUUGGGGACUUAAUUUUCACAGGGAGGGCCCCAUCUCAGGCUGAGACUGGGAAUCUGCCAGCAGGGCAGCACUAAUUGGAAGAUGACAAAUGUUUGCUGCUGGACCUCUGAUGAUGGUUGUGCUCCUGGAUCCCUGCCGUCUCCUAGGAUGACCAAUUUAUUUAGGCUGACUCGGGCACAGACCCUGCCUUCAUUUCAAAGAUGGUCAAUCAACAGGGAUAUGGCCUCAGUUCCAGCAAGCUGGGACAUUGCUGGGAUGGCAUCCUCAGGACUGUGUCUACUCUUUUCCAAGUUCCAGUCCAGAGCUGGAAGAAUUUCCUCAGGGAAGAGGAUAAAUAUUCCACCUUCAGCCUUUCCAGAGCAUUAGUGACACAGCAGUGUGCACACCUGUGGGAUUGGGUACAUCUCUCUGCCAAGGACUGGUUUACAGGAAUUUAAGAAGGGAACUCAGCUCUUCAAAUAAAAUAGCCACCUAAGAGAAUAAAAUUGUUCAUUAAUUUAUUUCAAGUUGAACUUCUAUACAAGUUUAUGCACUUAUUUUGCCUCACAGAAUCAUUUCAAGCAUCAUCAGUUCUCAGCUAACAGGAGGUACAUUUCUAGCAGUGCUGGGGAAUUCCUCCCAGCUGCACCAAAGGGUUCACAAACCAUCACUGAUCACAGACCAUCUCUGCUCACAUCCAGGACUUCUGCUACUCAUCAGCUCCUGAUCAUUUUCCUUUUUUGCUGCUGCUGUGCUCUUCUCCAGAGGCAGCAGGUGGUGGGGUCUGAGCUGAAGUGCUCUGCAGAGACCAGCAGAGGUGGUUGGCAGCAGUCAGGGUUUGAGGUUCUCAGCCUGGAGGAAGCUCCUCUCAAAGCCCCUGUGCUCACUCACUGUGAGCACCCUGCAGACUCCCUCUCUUCUUGGUGACAAGAAAAACUGAUGAGAACAGUGCUCAGCUCCUUCCUUCUCCCUUGGAAAGUCACUGCCUGGUUCUUAAAACUAGAUGGACUUCAACAUCCUGACACUUCCCUUCCAGCAAAGAAAAACACUUAAUAUACAAAAUCCCCACACCAGCAUUUUCAGAAUAUUUUCCAAUAAAAUAAACCAAAAAUAGAGGGAAAUUUCCAACUGAUAAAAUUAGCCAUGCCUGUCAGUGCUGCUGCCCUAAAACAAUCAGUCAUACCUGGGAGCUAAGCUCCCAUGAAAGGCAAUUGCAUCUGUGUGUUGGUAAUGCUUUUUGUCACUGCAGUAUGUCUUUGAGGUACCUCCGGCCCCACUAUGGCUGCUUUAACAUAAUCUCUUCUGAUAGCAAAUAGGAAUUUUAGCUGUAGCCAAAAAGGCUUGACAGUGUUGCUUUCAUCUUGGUACCAUCCAUGCUAAGGAUAUAAGCAGGAAAAUAUCACUAACAAUACAUCAGCUGGGCUUAUAUUGUCACAAAAAAUUCCAAAAAGACACUACCACUUUCUGAUGACACCGUCAUUAAACCCACUACCCUGGAGCAUGAUUAGUGCACACACAGACAAGGCAACACCAAGGAGAACAAAAUGAACUUGCAAUGGCUACUCUUUGAGUAAUUCUGAGUCAUCACUGAUUAUCUGGUGCAUGAUCAAGAAAGGAAACAAGCAAAGCCAUGCUGAUUUAUGCUCCAGAUGCUCCAUACUCUGCCAGGCUCAGGCUAGUGUGGCUGUGCUGUCCUCAGAACUGUCUUACAAUGGCCACACAUCAAGAGAGGACUUGGAUUAGCACAUUGAGGAAUUAGUGCUUGCAAAAAGGAAACAAAGUAAAAACUGGG